This 385-nucleotide ribosomal RNA is filed under the name uncultured bacterium. RNAcentral's name for it is "bacterial SSU rRNA". It matches the Rfam family "Bacterial small subunit ribosomal RNA", at positions 770 to 1150 of the family's 1533-position model. The record is from RNAcentral.
ACCCAAUAGAUACCCUGGUAGUCCACGCCCUAAACUAUGUCGACUGGUUGUUGGGGGUUUGACACUCUCAGUAAACGAAAGCUAAACGCGUGAAGUCGACCGCCUGGGGAGUACGGCCGCAAGGUUAAAACUCAAAGGAAUUGACGGGGACCCGCACAAGCGGUGGAUUAUGUGGAUUAAUUCGAUGCAACGCGAAAAACCUUACCUACCCUUGACAUGUCCUGAAGCCUGGAGAGAUCCGGGUGUGCCCGAAAGGGAACGGGGAACACGAGGUGCUGCAUGGCUGUCGUCAGCUCGUGUCGUGAGAUGUUAGGGUUAACGUCCCGCAACGAGCGCAACCCUUGUCAUUAGUUGCUACAUUCAGGUUGGGCACUCUAAUGAGACU